GUUAAGGUUGAAUCAUCAAAUGAAUGAUUAAUUGACCUGUGAGCAAAAGAUAUUGUCUACAGUUUACAAAACCUUCAAGUGAGAAGUUUCUUGGUCAAUUGGGAUUAGUCUAUGGUUGCUAAUAUUUCCAUUAACUGCAGUUUAGCAAUUUACUCAUGGUUACGUUGGUGUACUGCUCCGGCGUCAUCUUGCUGGUACUGCUGAUCUCGGGCUUAUUAACAAACCAACCUAGAAUUACCUCUGCAUCUACUUGGUCAGUACCUGAGGCUCCAGUAUGUUGGAUUAUGGGUUUAUGGAGAUUUUGCCAACUAUAUUGCUGAAGGUUUCUAAUGUCCGUGCUUGAAACAAGUCUUAAGAACUUUUUCAAUACCAUUACAGGCCUCAGACAUGUCUGUCAGCUCUGGGAUGGCAGGAUUCAGGUUAAGCAGCUUAUGCGGAGACCUCAAAUGAUUACUUAAAAGCUGCAGCCAGAAAGAGUUUGAUUACUGAAAAAAUCAUACCAAACACGGCAAUCCCAAAAUACUCUUGAUUUAUUUGGGUUUUCUUUAGCGCUGGAAAUGGUUACAUCCUGACACGCGGGACAGAAGCAAGGUCGCAUUGUGUAUUCCACGGACCAGCAAAUUCCGGCCGGCUUAGCGAAGAGAGCGGCAGACAACCCUGCUGAAAUCCAGAGGAAAACACACAGAGGAUGCAGAGGGGGAUCACAAAGCUGAGGAAAGAGGACCAGGACAACAGAGACUUUUGGAGAAGAGGAGUUCGGUGGAUAAUACCGUUCCGCUUGACCGGAAGUGCACCGAGAGUGGUAAGCGUAAAGGAGUUGGGUGCUUACUGAUCUGGUUAACAACGGAUGGUGCAAUCCGAGGUAUAUUACGAUCGAGGAAUGUGUUUGCAGACUGGAUAUUGAACUUUUUACUGUUGGACUUCGGCCACAUUCCACCGUGAUACAACACUUGGUGGCACGGGAGGUCGUUCCUGCCUGUGGCCAUCGAACGUGCAGCUCCUCCUGUGGAGGGUCAGACACCCUGAGCCAAUAGACUGGUCCUGGACUUAUUUUCCAUCUGGUGUCCUAAGAAACAGUUUGGCAUUGUGGAGAAAAUGAAGAACAUGUAAUGAGUAAUUCUGAGUGACUUCACAGAGUGAACUGAAAUGUAUCUGACACAAUCAAUGAAAGGAACGUGAUGUCCCUGCAGGGUAAGGAGUACUUUGCCUGAAUAUGACAAGCAGAGAAAAACCUUUCACCACAAGCACAGAGCUGUGAUAUUUGCAGCAAAUAGGGAGCAAUAAAUGAACUGGCAUUCCAAACACCAUAUUUUUUAGAAGGGAGAGCGACUUGUACAAUACAUUUUUUUGAUUUAAGAUAAAUAAUUUAAUGUGACUGUGUUUACCCAUGAUAAAUGUGUCCAAUUUUUAUGGUGACAUGCUUUGACAGGAUUCCCAGAGAACUGAAGUGGAUGGUGCCACACUUUGUAAGUUUGUUUAAUGACAUGUAAACUAAGUUGUUGUGAAAAUAUGCAUUGAAUUCAAAUUUGGCAGACUUGUUUUAAUAGCUUCUAUUUUUUUUAAUAACCGAGCAAUCAACUUUGAUGGAUGACUUUGAACACAAAGAAAACAAAGUAAUCAGGUUAAGUCCUGAUGCAGGCUUGCAAUCUGAGUCAGCAACCAUUUCUUUGCCUCCACAGAUGCUGCUUGAACUGCUGGGUAUUUCCAGCAUUUUGCUUAUUGCUCCAGAUUUCACUGUCUCUUUUAGUCAAAUUAAAAUGUAAGUGGAUGUUAGACCAUUAGACAUAGGAGCAGAAUCAGGCCAUUCAGCCCAUCGAAUCUGCUCUGCUAUUUCAUCAUGGCUCACUUACUAUCCGUCUCAACCCCAUUCUCCUGCCUUCUCUCUGUAACCUUUGACACCUCGACUAAUCAAGAAAUUAUCGUCCCCCACUUUAAAUAUACCCAAUAACCUGGCUUCCACAGCCGUCAGUGGCAAUAAAUUCCAUAGAUUUACUACCUUUGGCUAAAGAAAUUUCCUCUAAUCUCUGUUCUAGAUGGAUGUCCCUCAAUUCUGAGGCUGUG
This is a long non-coding RNA of Mobula hypostoma (lesser devil ray), 2061 nucleotides long. RefSeq lists it as uncharacterized. The record is from RefSeq and is a predicted model, not a curated record. The transcript has 3 exons. Lineage: Eukaryota; Metazoa; Chordata; Chondrichthyes; Myliobatiformes; Myliobatidae.